UACAGAGGGUGCAAGCGUUGCUCGGAUUUACUGGGCGUAAAGCGUACGCAGACGGAUUGGCAAGUCGGGAGUGAAAGCCCUGGGCUCAACCCAGGAACUGCUUCCGAUACUAUCAGUCUUGAGUUUGGGAGAGGGAAGCGGAAUUCCUGGUGUAGAGGUGAAAUUCGUAGAUAUCAGGAGGAACACCGGCGGCGAAGGCGGCUUCCUGGCCCAAUACUGACGUUCAGGUACGAAAGCGUGGGUAGCAAACAGG
This 253-nucleotide ribosomal RNA is filed under the name uncultured bacterium. RNAcentral's name for it is "partial 16S ribosomal RNA". It matches the Rfam family "Bacterial small subunit ribosomal RNA", at positions 524 to 776 of the family's 1533-position model. The record is from RNAcentral.